UGGGACUACAGGCGCCCGCCACCACGCCCAGCUAAUUUUUUGUAGAGACGGGGUUUCACCGUGUUAGCCAGGAUGGUCUCGAUCUUCUGACCUCGUGAUCCGCCUGCCUCGGCCUCCCAAAGUGCUGGGAUUACAGGCUUGAGCCACUGCGCCCGGCCAGAAGGAGGAAGAUUUUUAAUCAGUUAUCUUAACAUCUUUUUCAUCUAAGACACUGACAUUCUGCUUGGUUUAUUGACAAAGAUAGAAAUGAAAAACAAAAAUGAAAAUAUACAGGGGCAAAAACGACACGGAAUAUCUUCGUCUAGAGCAAAUAUUGUGGGAACUCAAGAAAGACGAUGUUCCAAAGUCAACCUCAAGUUUGGAAUUGCAAGAAAGAACCACAGAUUAAAAUGGAACUGGAAUCAACUGAACCCUGGAUACUCUCUCUAAUGAGAGCUCUGUACAGGAACCACAUAUUAUACUGUCC
RNAcentral lists this long non-coding RNA (466 nucleotides) under Homo sapiens (human). Its description in RNAcentral is "HSALNT0069357". The record is from RNAcentral. Lineage: Eukaryota; Metazoa; Chordata; Mammalia; Primates; Hominidae.